CCCUUAGAUGUCCUGGGCCGCACGCGCGCUACACUGAGUGUCUGAGAUACGAGUCUGCCUGGUCCGGCAAGGUCUAGGUAAUCGCUAAAAGACACAUCAUGCUUGGGAUAGAUUAUUGCAAAUAUUAAUCUUGAACGAGGAAUUCCUAGUAAGCGCAAGUCAACAGCUUGCGUUGAUUACGUCCCUGCGCUUUGUACACACCGCCCGUCGCUACUACUGAUUGGAUGUUUAAGCGAGGUUCUCGAACUGCUAGCGACUUAGCUUCGGUGAGGUCGCAGUGUGGGAAGUGAACCUAGCUUUGGUGUCUAGAGGAAGUAAAAGUCGUAACA
This 329-nucleotide ribosomal RNA is filed under the name uncultured eukaryote. Its description in RNAcentral is "partial 18S ribosomal RNA". It matches the Rfam family "Eukaryotic small subunit ribosomal RNA", at positions 1470 to 1796 of the family's 1831-position model. The record is from RNAcentral.